AGCAGUCGCCGCGGGAAUACAGAGGGUGCGAGCGUUAAUCGGAUUUACUGGGCGUAAAGCGUGCGUAGGCGGCUAAUUGAGUCGGAUGUGAAAUCCCCGAGCUUAACUUGGGAAUUGCAUUCGAUACUGGUUAGCUAGAGUGUGGGAGAGGAUGGUAGAAUUCCAGGUGUAGCGGUGAAAUGCGUAGAGAUCUGGAGGAAUACCGAUGGCGAAGGCAGCCAUCUGGCCUAACACUGACGCUGAGGUACGAAAGCAUGGGGAGCAAACAGGAUUAGAGACCCCCGUAGUCCCUGUCUCUUAUAC
This 303-nucleotide ribosomal RNA is filed under the name uncultured bacterium. Its description in RNAcentral is "partial 16S ribosomal RNA". It matches the Rfam family "Bacterial small subunit ribosomal RNA", at positions 507 to 807 of the family's 1533-position model. The record is from RNAcentral.